UCGGUUACGUAUGUAACCCUAGACGUCACGUCGUGACCGACUGAAAGGGAACGCGAACUAAACGACGUCAGCUGUGAGAUAAGCAACGUUAAGAUAAUUUGCCCAAACUUAGAAACACACCGAUCGGACAACCAGGCAAUUGACCCCCUGACCCUUUACAAGCGACCUGUUGGAGCAGCUUUCAAGUGUAUACUUAAAUCUUCAUGGGAAUGGUCCCGCUGAUCCAGGAUCAGGUCCCCCGAGCAAUCAACACCUAGAGGUUAGUUGGGAAUGUUGCUGAUGGUCAGCACAAAGAGACCAUGAUUCACUGCCAACAAUGAUGUGACGCUGAAAGCGGACAGUUGUUGGCCUGAUCAUGUCAUAGCAGAUUUCCUCCUUCUCUUGGAUCCAGACACUAGACCGGCUCAGCAGAACUGGACAGGUUUUGAGUUUCCCCCAGAGGACCGAGGAUUUCACAAUCAAUGAACACUUUGCUGAUUUUUAUUGGUUUUAAAGUUCCUUUACACCUUUGUGUUACAUAAUUCUUGCUAACGUUUUGAAGGUUUGUAUAGUGAUCAAAGGAUGCCAUAAUUAAAAUGGCCUUAAAUGGUAAUCAGAAUUUCAUGCUUUUAUACAGUAGUAUGCUAUGGUA
Non-coding RNA from Misgurnus anguillicaudatus (oriental weatherfish), 631 nucleotides. The record is from RefSeq and is a predicted model, not a curated record. NCBI's taxonomy places the organism in Eukaryota, Metazoa, Chordata, Actinopteri, Cypriniformes, Cobitidae.